Long non-coding RNA from Anopheles gambiae (African malaria mosquito), 2189 nucleotides. RefSeq lists it as uncharacterized. NCBI's taxonomy places the organism in Eukaryota, Metazoa, Arthropoda, Insecta, Diptera, Culicidae. The transcript is spliced from 4 exons. The record is from RefSeq and is a predicted model, not a curated record.
CACACACAAGCGCACGUCCUCAACGCACGUCAGGCGAGGAGCAGCUCCGAAGAAUACCGAAGAAACGCCAAACAUUCUCAGCAAGACAGGUAUCGAGUGAAGUCACAGUUUCCGCGUGCAGAGCGCGCUUUUGGUGGUGUGGUUCGGUGUGUGGCCGUGGUUCGAACCGUGGCCGUCCCUUCCCGCAGCGGCCAGCGGAAUCAGUGUGCUGUGUGGCGCAAGAUCGGAUCGUUCCCUGGAAACUAAGUAUGGGUGUCGCCAGCAGAAAACGGAAGACGAGCAAAAAUUAUGCACCCAUUCAACAACUUGCAGCAGCUUCCAGGGAAGUGCCAGUAGUGCAAUGAAAAAAUCCGGAGCAACCAUCCUCACUGGGUGUGCUGGUGUGGGUGCGUGCACGUACGUGACAGCCAGCUGGCGCUAUACAGGAUCGCCAACGACGUCAGGGGGUGACUGCAGUCAAUAACAAUCGUGCUGGUUGUGAAGAAACCGGUACAUUAUCAAGCAACGCCCCGCCGCUACAUCCUCCAUAACGCUGAGAUGUGAAUUCUCUCCUCGAAUGUGGGGUGGCAAAACGCAGAACGACGGCACCACUACCAUCCAAUCAUCCCGACCCCCCGCUCAAUAGCUUGUUGGCAAUCGCGCGGUACAAAAAAAAAGGGCAAGAGAACCUGAGGACGGGGAGCGCACCCCUUAUCCCGGUACGGCGGUUCCGCGGGUUGCUGCUAUUUCGUGAAGGAGAACACCACCACCGGGCCACCACGAGAUUUUAAUGAGUUUUCGUCGUCCCACUGCUCCCCGUUGUGGAGCCGAUGAUAAUCAUCAAACCUUUAUCAGGGCGCCGUUUUGACUAUACUUCCGGUUGGUCUUUUUUUUGGCGGCGUCAUGUACAACGUGUGUCACAAAUGUUCUGGCGGCACAGGAACAACCUCUACCCUCCCAACCGUAGGCCAUGAAUGUGGAUCAUUGAAGCGCACACACACACACACUGCUAAAUCUAAUCAGAAACACCAUCCCCCUGCCACCCGCUCCCUGGUCACCUUCUCGCGAUCGCCUCGAUCAUCAUCAAGUCCAUUGAGGGUUGCUGCUGGUGUUGCUGCUGCUGUUGCCGUGUGCCUCUGCUCUCCACCUAACGAUCGCAGUAGGGCCAGUCGGGGAAUGGGCAGGCGAAUUUCUUCAUCAAUUAGCCUGUCAGCUACACCAACGGCGCGCGCGGGAGGAGCGCUACGUCGUCGGCGGGUGAUGAAGAAGGGGGGAGGAGGAGAGAGUGCACAUUCCAUUCGCGCAGCAGCAGAGCUCGGUGGAUGGAUGGAGAGCUGUUGUUCGGAUGAUGGCUUUCCCGACCCCAGGAACGCCGCAACCAUGUUGCUGCUGAUGCUGCUGCUGCUUCUGCAACCCUUCAUUGUGUGUGUGUUUGUGUGGUUGCCUGUGGCUGCUCAAGCACGUCAAACACAACACACUACCCGCGACUCGAGAUGUGGUGGUAGGCUCGUGUUUAAGGUUCCGUCUCAAUACAACGCGGGGAGCGCUUCCUUUUUGGCCCCAGCUCUGUCGGGCACAGAAGAAAACUGUUGGCCAGCCACGAAAUCAAUUCGCCGGCAACAGACACACCGCUCCUGGUAGCAGCAGCAGCAGCAGUUCGUCGACCCGCGCGGGCACGACGUUGCAUUCCAUUGGUGGAGCAGAGAGAGAGAGGGAGAAUAGGGCGGCUGCGCGCCUGUGUGUCACCACACACAGCUCCCCAGUGAAACGAGUCUCUCUGUUUCUGUUUCGGUGCUUUUUGUGUGUGCGUGCGCCCAAAACGCCGCAGACAAACAGGAGGAGAUAUGGUUAUGGUGGUAGCCAUUGACUUUCUUUGACCGCGAAAGCUCCCAAAGCCUGCGCAGACAUCAAUUCUGGCGAUAAGAGGAAACAACUCAUGGGAACGGAAGCAGCAGACACACGGGGGAGAGGAGUGGUGGACCCCAAUGGGUUCCCUUUACUCAAGAAUUUCCCCCAAUAUGUCCCGUUUCGACGUGUGUGUGUGUGUAUCGGUGCUGAGAUUGAAGUGUUGAUCGUGUGCUGAUCAUCGUUAAAAGUUGAAGGACCCACCGAUCCUGUUUCGUUAUGUGUGUUGAUCGGGUUGUGAUUUCGUCGUCGGGAUCGGAGUGGGAGAGGGUGUGUGUGUGUGUGGAUGAAAUGUAAUCACAGAA